UACACAUGCAGUCGAACGAGAAAGUGGAAGCAUCCAUGAGUAAGUGGCGACGGGUGAGUACACGUGACUAACUACCUUUUAGUGGGGGAUACAUCGGGAAACCGAUGCUAAUACCGCAUAACAUCGCAAGAUCAAAGCAGCAAUGCGCUGGAAGAGGGGGUCGCGGCUGAUUAGCUAGUUGGCGGGGUAUGGCCCACCAAGGCGAAGAUCGGUAUCCGGCCUGAGAGGGCGCACGGACACACUGAACUGAAACACGGUCCAGACUCCUACGGGAGGCAGCAGUGGGGAAUUUUGCGCAAUGGGGGAAACCCUGACGCAGCAACGCCGCGUGGAGGAUGAAGCCCCUUGGGGGCCGUAAACUCCCUUUCGACCAAGACGAUAUGACGGUACUGGUUGGAAGAAGGCACCGGGUAACUCUGUGCCAGCAGCCGCGGUAAUUACAGAAGGGUGCGAGCGUUGUUCGGAAAUUAUUGGGCGUAAAAGGGC
This 486-nucleotide ribosomal RNA is filed under the name uncultured bacterium. RNAcentral describes it as "bacterial SSU rRNA". It matches the Rfam family "Bacterial small subunit ribosomal RNA", at positions 50 to 569 of the family's 1533-position model. The record is from RNAcentral.